This 482-nucleotide long non-coding RNA is filed under the name Parus major (Great Tit). Its description in RNAcentral is "lncRNA (ENSPMJG00000003473.1)". Lineage: Eukaryota; Metazoa; Chordata; Aves; Passeriformes; Paridae. The record is from RNAcentral.
CGCGGAGGCCACGCCCCCCUCGGGGGGGUUUUCCCGCCCCUCGCGUUUCCCGCCCGCCAGGGGGCGCUGAGGGGAGAGCGGGGCAAAGAUGGCUGAGGAGGCCGUGAGGGGGAUCCUGGAGCAGCUCCUGGUGGCCCUGGGGACCCCCAAAAAUGGGGAGCCCCGACGGGGAGCUCUGCUGGUGGCCCUGACAGAGGGGAAGGGCCCGGGGGGGCCCCCCUGCAUCUUCACAGUGGCCGCCACGGGACCCCUCGGCCAUGACCUCGACCCUGAAGUGCUGGAAGGAGCUCCCCGAGGGGUGCAGGAGCUGCCGGGAGCCCCCCCAAGUCCCCCCCCCUGCUGCAGGCAGAUCCUGGCUCGGGCUCAGGUGCAGAGGAGCUUCCAGGUGAGUUUUGGGGGGCUCGGGGGGGGAUUUUGGGGUCCCCCCUCUCUCUGAGUUCUUUCCCAGCCCUCCAGAGUCACCUUAGGGGGGUGAAUUGGGG